This 516-nucleotide ribosomal RNA is filed under the name Odoniellina sp. S455. RNAcentral's name for it is "partial 16S ribosomal RNA". It matches the Rfam family "Bacterial large subunit ribosomal RNA", at positions 1810 to 2600 of the family's 2925-position model. Lineage: Eukaryota; Metazoa; Arthropoda; Insecta; Hemiptera; Miridae. The record is from RNAcentral.
AAAACAUGGUCUUUUGUUUUAAAUAAAAGAUUUGGCCUGCUCAAUGAUUUAUUAAAUGGCUGCAGUAUUUUGACUGUACAAAGGUAGCAUAAUCAUUUGUCUUUUAAUUGGAGACUAGUAUGAAUGGUCGGAUGAAAUAUAUACUUUCUUUAUAUUAAUUGUAUGAAUUUAACUUUUUGGUAAAAAUGCCAAGAUUUAUCUAAAAGACGAGAAGACCCUAUAGAAUUUUAUUACUUUUAUAUUUAAUUGUUUUGGUUGAUUAUAUUUUUUAAUGUUUAUGGUAAUUAUGUUGGGGUGAUAAAUAAAAUUUAUAAACUUUAUUUAUUUUAUACAAUUAUAUUUGUUUUGUUGAUCCAUAUUUUAUGAUAAUAAGAUUAAAUUACCUUAGGGAUAACAGCGUUAUUACUUUGGAGAGUUCAUAUCGAUGAAGUAGUUUGCGACCUCGAUGUUGGAUUAAAAUUAGUUGUGGGAGUAGAAUUUCAUACACUAGGUCUGUUCGACCUUUAUAUUUUUACA